GAUGAACGCUGGCGGCGUGCCUAAUACAUGCAAGUCGAGCGAACAGACGAGGGGCUUGCUCCUCUGACGUUAGCGGCGGACGGGUGAGUAACACGUGGAUAACCUACCUAUAAGACUGUGAUAACGUCGGGAAACCGUUACUAAUACCUGAUAAUAUAUGAAGCCGGAUGGUGCAAUAGUGAAAUAGGGUUUUGCUGUCACUUAUAGAUGGAUCCGCGCCGCAUUAGCUAGUUGGUAGGGUAACGGCCUACCAAGGCAACGAUGCGUAGCCGACCUGAGAGGGUGAUCAGCCACACUGGAACUGAGACACGGUCCAGACUCCUACGGGAGGCAGCAGUAGGGAAUCUUCCGCAAUGGGCGAAAGCCUGACGGAGCAACGCCGCGUGAGUGAUGAAGGUCUUCGGAUCGUAAAACUCUGUUAUUCGGGAAGAAAAAAUGUGUAAGUAAAUAUGCACGUCUUGACGGUACCUAAUCAGAAAGCAACGGCUAACUACGUG
This 497-nucleotide ribosomal RNA is filed under the name uncultured bacterium. RNAcentral's name for it is "partial 16S ribosomal RNA". It matches the Rfam family "Bacterial small subunit ribosomal RNA", at positions 28 to 507 of the family's 1533-position model. The record is from RNAcentral.